UCUGGAUCUACUUUUAACCCAAACUGUAGCAGCUAAGCGCCCAUUCUGCUUUUAACUGGUUUCAAAUGCUAAAAAACACCCUGGGACUUUUUAAUGGAGGCUAUUCCAUGAAUAGAGGAUGUUCUUGCCAAAGUUCUGCACCAGAUAACUGAGCAAUCUUCAUUUCCCUUUUCCUCCUGCAGUGGGACUCCCACGCACCAGCACUACAAACAGAGCUCACCCCCACCACCCUGAGUUCCUAUGUGUAGCACAGCAAGGAGUCACACUGCACAGUGCUUAAAGCUUCUCACAAUCUGAGUAACAGCCCCACAACGGCCAUUUAUGGACACUACCAGAUGGACAUUAGGAAUUACUCCAGUCACUGCGCAGAGAUUAUACUUCUUUGCAAAGAAGCUCAGCUUUGUAUUAUCCAACCAGGCUGGAGCCAUUCAAUUUGCUGCCCUAAGCCAUAAUAUCUGCUUUUUCAGAAAAGAGAACAGAAGAUGGAUUAGUUGAAAUCGAUUUAUUAUAGAACACGGGAAAGCAUCCAUCAAAACAAAGCAAACAGUUCUAAGUAUUCAUGCAGCGAGCCCACAUCAGUCUCGGAGCUCGUUCUCGCUGUGGAGAGCUUUCCCUGCUGAAGCCAGCUGCACUUUGCUAAUUGCUAUCUCCUCUAGGUGCAAGAUGACAGGAAAUACGGCUGCAAGAGCCGAGCAUCAGAAAGAGCAGGCACAAUUUGUACUGCUGCUGCCAGCUGUGCUCCCGGACCUCAGCAGAUGGCACUGUCACAUCAGCCUGAGCACAGGAAAGAAGCAGCACACAGAUUGUGUUUUCACAGGUAAUGCUUGUUUUUCUUCCUAUAUAUACAUAUAUAUUCUCUAAUUGGUACCUAGCUAC
This 876-nucleotide long non-coding RNA is filed under the name Chrysolophus pictus (golden pheasant). RNAcentral's name for it is "lncRNA (ENSCPIG00010013960.1)". Lineage: Eukaryota; Metazoa; Chordata; Aves; Galliformes; Phasianidae. The record is from RNAcentral.